AAAAGAAAUCAACCGAGAUUCCCCCAGUAGCGGCGAGCGAACGGGGAGGAGCCCAGAGCCUGAAUCAGUGUGUGUGUUAGUGGAAGCGUCUGGAAAGGCGCGCGAUACAGGGUGACAGCCCCGUACACAAAAAUGCACAUAUUGUGAGCUCGAUGAGUAGGGCGGGACACGUGGUAUCCUGUCUGAAUAUGGGGGGACCAUCCUCCAAGGCUAAAUACUCCUGACUGACCGAUAGUGAACCAGUACCGUGAGGGAAAGGCGAAAAGAACCCCGGCGAGGGGAGUGAAAAAGAACCUGAAACCGUGUACGUACAAGCAGUGGGAGCCUCUUUUAUGGGGUGACUGCGUACCUUUUGUAUAAUGGGUCAGCGACUUAUAUUCUGUAGCAAGGUUAACCGAAUAGGGGAGCCGAAGGGAAACCGAGUCUUAACUGGGCGUUAAGUUGCAGGGUAUAGACCCGAAACCCGGUGAUCUAGCCAUGGGCAGGUUGAAGGUUGGGUAACACUAACUGGAGGACCGAACCGACUAAUGUUGAAAAAUUAGCGGAUGACUUGUGGCUGGGGGUGAAAGGCCAAUCAAACCGGGAGAUAGCUGGUUCUCCCCGAAAGCUAUUUAGGUAGCGCCUCGUGAAUUCAUCUCCGGGGGUAGAGCACUGUUUCGGCAAGGGGGUCAUCCCGACUUACCAACCCGAUGCAAACUGCGAAUACCGGAGAAUGUUAUCACGGGAGACACACGGCGGGUGCUAACGUCCGUCGUGAAGAGGGAAACAACCCAGACCGCCAGCUAAGGUCCCAAAGUCAUGGUUAAGUGGGAAACGAUGUGGGAAGGCCCAGACAGCCAGGAUGUUGGCUUAGAAGCAGCCAUCAUUUAAAGAAAGCGUAAUAGCUCACUGGUCGAGUCGGCCUGCGCGGAAGAUG
RNAcentral lists this ribosomal RNA (916 nucleotides) under Escherichia coli. RNAcentral describes it as "partial 23S ribosomal RNA". It matches the Rfam family "Bacterial large subunit ribosomal RNA", at positions 217 to 1172 of the family's 2925-position model. Lineage: Bacteria; Pseudomonadati; Pseudomonadota; Gammaproteobacteria; Enterobacterales; Enterobacteriaceae. The record is from RNAcentral.